Molecule: ribosomal RNA, 374 nt
Filed under: uncultured Synergistaceae bacterium
Lineage: Bacteria; Thermotogati; Synergistota; Synergistia; Synergistales; Synergistaceae
Description: bacterial SSU rRNA
Rfam family: Bacterial small subunit ribosomal RNA
Source: RNAcentral
UCCGCUUUCGGGUGGAGAGCGUACACAGGUGCUGCAUGGCUGUCGUCAGCUCGUGUCGUGAGACGUUGGGUUAAGUCCCGCAACGAGCGCAACCCCUGCAUUCAGUUGCCAUCGGGUGAAGCCGGGCACUCUGGAAGGACUGCCAUCGACAAGAUGGAGGAAGGUGGGGACGACGUCAAGUCAUCAUGGCCCUUAUGUCCAGGGCGACACACGUGCUACAAUGGCCGGCACAACGGGAAGCGAGUUCGCGAGGACGAGCGGAUCCCUUAAAGCCGGUCGCAGUUCGGAUUGAAGUCUGCAACUCGACUUCAUGAAGCUGGAAUCGCUAGUAAUCGCAGAUCAGCCAAGCUGCGGUGAAUACGUUCCCGGGCCUU